AGAAGCUAUAUUAGUGCUCCUAAAACCAUUCAGCUUGCAGGGAUAUAUAAGAAAAUACAAAGAAAGAUCAAAUCAGUUCAUAUUGAAGCACUAUUGAAAAUACUGUUGAUUGAAAACGAAUUCUUUUUACAAUGGCGUACAAGCUAUUAUGAAAUUAAUAAUUUGCGCGUGUCAGACCUUGCAAUUUUUUGUUACACCUUGAACAGUUUGGAGUCACAGCUCUGUUCAACUUUGAGCUUCCAGAACUCGUGAUUUAUGCAGGAGAAAAGAAAGGAACAAGAUGGAUUUACAAUAGGAUUACACAACACUCAUCUUUCUUUUUUUUUUUUUAAAUUUAAUUUUCAGUCAUUUGAUUAAGGUGAAGAUGUGCCAAUACAAAAAGCUUAAAAAUGAAACAUUUGAAAAAACAAGCAAGAAAACAAGUGGACGAGAAGUUGCUAUUCACAAUCGAGCAACAUAGGAAUUUGAUUGUGUAACAUAUCUUACCCAUCGAUAUGGGUUAGAGGUUGAUGACUUCUUCACUAUUUGCAAGUACUUUACCUGAAGUCUUGAAGCAUUAUACAUUGGAAUGGUAAAAGACAUGCUAACUGGUCCAGCUUCCUUAGUGAUAUUUCCAUGUGUCUCUUGUGAAAGUGUCAGCUUUGCACAUAGGACAUGGUCAGAUCCACCAACAAUCUUCUUCAAGCCCCACACAAGUCUCUUACUUGACUCCUUAAAGUCAGCAGUGUUUCCAACUGCGCCAGGCUCCAACUCAAAACUAACCCUGCUAGUAUAUGUUGGCAGUGGCAUCUCUAUAAGUAUAGUAUUUGCAGUGACACUGGAGGAGAAUUCAGCAUGCACUUUAAUAAAAACUUCAGCCUUCUUGGAUCCCACUUCUUCAAUUAAUGCAUUAAUUCGGAAUGGAGGUCUAAACUCUUGAGUCAUUCGGUAGUUCAUGACAGAAAAUUCACCAUCUGGCGCUACCAGAGCCAAAGUCCUGUCAAUGUCAAAACUAUCAAGAUGUACUGAUUCAUGGAAAUUACAAUUGUCCAGAAUCAAUGUCCCUGCUCCAGAUGAACUACCGUAGUAAUUGUUUUGAACUACAUCAUAUACUGUCUUCUACAAAUAAGAGUGAAAAAUCAAAAUGCAAGCAGAGGUGGUAAUUGUUAAAUAAGCAUCCCCUGCAAAAGGCUGUCUUAAACUGUAAGAUGGUGAAAGAUAUGGCUUGACACUUCAAAUAAAGAAUGUGCCUCACUCUCACCAGAAGUGCAAAACCAAGAGCCAGAAGCCAUCGCAAUGUUCCAAGGGUCAAAAAAAAAAAAAUAUACUAUAGAUUAUAGGCAUACCAUGGAUUGACCUUCCACCUCUUCCUAUACUUAGUUCUUCAUUUAAAGCAAGCCGAAUCUCAGGGUUGCCAGUAAGGUAACUCUUCAUUUGGAUCGUGCCAUCAAUCUCAGAAGUAAGUAUGUAUCCACUAGCGCUGAAUGUGACACUUAUUUUCUCGAUUACAUCUACAAAAAUUUCCUCUCUAUUCCUGCCACGAGGUUCAUUGGCUAAAACAGAUUUGGUUACAGCUGUUGCAGGCAUUCUUUUGGCCCCUUGCACAAAGAUGGAAGCAGGACCAAGGCUGGGCAAACAUGCAGCAUCAAUCAUGAUUGGCUCAUUAAAUACAAAGGAUUUCAGAACCUCAGUUGAUGUUGUUUGAACAUAACCAAAAUCAAUCAUUUCAUCCAGCAGCUCAUACACGAGCACAAAAUUUUUGCGCAGUGACUCUUCAUUGAGAACACCAAGGUAAUCUUUGAUUACACGUGCAUUUCUUUGAAGAAAUUCCAGAACAAGUGAAGGUGAGAUAUUAACUCUUGUUGUUGCAACAAAUAGCAACCCAGCAACCUUCACAUGAAAGUAGUUCACACCAUCCACAUUAAAGACAGGUGGAGCGUCCCCUUCUUCAUCCUCUUUCCAAAACUUAACUUUGCGGAAAAAUAUUUCAGCAGUUGCUUUGGGCACUUCACCACGAUAGUCACGGAAGACGAUGCUAUCGCCUCUCUGAGAGAGCACGAACAACUGCGAGAUCAUGGUUUCAAAUCUUCGAUUAUCACUUUCCUUUGUGCUCUCAUUUUAAUUUAGGGGGGUGAGCUUUUAGGUCCUGUAGCGAGGAGAAAAAUCGUAAUUGAAACCUACGCUUUUAAACCCCACGUUGCCAUGUGAGGCAGCACACGUCCUUCUCGACUUUGGCGUGGAACUCGUGACUUGUCCGUUGCCACUUCUUAAGAACCCGGGGAGAAUAUGCUUCCCGUUGAUCAACAGAAGGACGCAACAAAUCACUCAUUACAACGGCAUCGUUUCGGUAAAUUGUUGUUACCAUAAUUUAUAAAACGUCCACGUCUUAGAUAAAAUUGUAAAGUUGUGGUUAAAAGAGAGGCACCGGACUCUACGGCGAUAAGCAAAAAAAAUAUCAACAUGACUAUUAUUUUUAUUAUUCCAUUGGCCUUUUGCUUUGGCACCCUGCUUUGAUCGCGACGACAUAACGGAUCUUGAUCGCUGCGAAAUUUCAUAGAAGUCACCGUUGGGCGUUGACAAACUCUUCACCACAACAGAUCGAACACCAAGCCUCUAACCUUUUUGCUUCACAGAGACCGAUAAUUUAUGCUUCUCUGGCGCCAAAUUGAACAAGGCUUGAUGCUGGAUGAGUUCCAGAGAUGAAAUGGGCCAAUUGAACUAGGUUUGAGGGUAAUUUCGGGAAAAUAAUGGCUUUGUUUGUUGGGAAUUCGAGGAACUUUGAUUUUUUUCCAGAGAAUUUUCAGCUGAAUUUGGGAUGAGUUCUGCUGUGGGUAGCGGAUUGUAAAGUUGGUUUAUUUGUAUAAGGAAGAUCUUCACAAGAUCAAAAGUAAGUUCUUUAUCACCCUCUCUUAUUUUGAAAGGGAGUUUAUGAUUUUUCGUAUUUUGCAAAUUAUUAUGUGUUUUAAGCAUUUAAAUUCUAGGAAUUUCAAUGUUGCCAUUGGGCAUGCAAUGGAAAUCUGAUGUGAUGUCUGCCUUGAGAAUUAAUUCACACUUUUAUAGGUACAAGUCCAUCUUCCCUUAUGGUGCUUUUUGACCGAAACAUAAAUGAUUAGAAAGUCUCCAUACAAUGUCCCUAUGAGAAACUUUGUAAUUGAUCUUAUGCGAUGGGCAGGUCUCUUUUUUAUGCCGACGUUUCUAUAUUCUCUUGCUACAUUACUGUGUAAUGGGUCAAUUUUGGAUUUUGAGGAAUUCCCAGUUUGUGUUUUAUAUCAGUAUGAUCAGUGUGCAAUGCUUUUGAUUUCAACAUCCAGCUUUCAUUUUAAUAACUUGCAGGAAAUGGCGACUCCGGUUGAGCCUCCAAAUGGAGUUAGAAUUCAGGGGAAGCAUUACUAUUCUAUGUGGCAAACUUUGUUUGAGAUUGACACAAAAUAUGUGCCCAUCAAGCCAAUUGGCCGAGGAGCUUAUGGAAUUGUGUGCUCCUCGGUGAAUAGGGAAACCAACGAGAAAGUUGCAAUCAAGAAAAUACACAAUGCUUUUGAUAAUCGUGUUGAUGCGCUGAGAACUUUACGUGAACUGAAGCUUCUUCGGCAUCUUCGGCAUGAAAACGUCAUUCAGUUGAAGGAUGUAAUGAUGCCUAUUCAUAGGAGAAGUUUCAAGGAUGUGUAUCUGGUCUAUGAACUCAUGGAUACAGAUCUGCAUCAAAUUAUUAAGUCUUCUCAAGCACUCACUAAUGAUCACUGCCAAUACUUCCUAUUCCAGGUAUCUAUUUGCUAGCUAAUGAUGAAGCAGUGUUUUCAAGUAGACAAUAGAAAAAAGACAAGGUUAAUGCUCGGCAGUUUCUAUCAUAGCUAGCUUUUGUGGUAAUAGAAACUAGUUGAUGAAAUAUUUUGUGAAAGCGUUUUCUUGGUUUUCAUUAAAAACUUGCGUGGAAAUGUUUUAUGGCUGCUGCAAUGUGAAUUCUUGACUUUUUCCUCUUACUGACCUUUCCUGUUAAAGCAUUACUGUUAUCAGAUGUUCUUUUUGUAACAGUGUGCUUAUUAACAUGAGAACAUUAAUAUGCUUGGUUAGUUGGUUUUUGUAAAAGUAUUACUGUUAACCAGGAUAACAUUGUUAAUAUGCUUUUAUACGAGAUAUUCUUGUCAUAAUAGUGUGUCUAUUAAUAAUGCCUUCCAUACAAUUUGUGAGAACUAUACUUAGCACUCCACCAAGGCAACGACUUGCUUAUAGAUAUUAAGCUAGAUUCUUUUGCUUUGGCACUUAAAAGACAAAGUCUUUCAAGUUAGUUGCAGGAAUGAUACUGAUAGAGAACGGUCUCUGUUUCUGUUGGUUUUUAUGAUUAGUUGUGAUGUUUAAAAAUGAGGGACACUAUGAGAGAUACAAAAUCUGAGAUUGCAUUUGGGGGAACAUGUUCAAGAUGGAUUACCUUUCUACUUUCUAGGAAGCUAUUUGGUUUUCUUUUGAAUUGCACAAUCCAAAUAAUCUAUCUAAAAUUACACUGGAAAACAUGUUAGGGUGGAAUCUAGGUGUGAAUAAUCUUGGGGAUGAGAUUCAGAUAUCAUAUAACACAGCGCGUGCGCGCGGACAUGUGUGUGUAUCCUGAUGUUAUAGAUUCUAUUAAAAAGUUAAUUAGAUUCUCAAAAGUUUGAUCUGAUGGUUACCUCAUCCCUCUUCCAGGGGCACAUGAAGUUCUGCUGUCGUUUUUAUAUUGGUUAACUGUGUCUAUCGUUUGUGCAUUUGCUGGAUUCAGAUGCAAAUUAGUUCAUUGCAUCUUCCAAUUGCACUAAAAUGAAGUUUAUAUGCUAAGUUAUUGUUCUUGUACCUUUUUUUUUAUUUGGAUUUUAAGAGAUUACCAUUCAUGUUGGUUGCAGUUUUUAUUAUUUUAGGAGAUUAUCAAUGCUGUUGCAUUUAAUAGCUCCCCAGGCCUCCAAAUAAUUUCCAGUUUCCAAUGGUCUUGUUGCUCCUAUUAAAAUUGGUGAAAUUGCUUGUGCAUUACCAUAGAUUUCCAUAGUUAGCUUUCAUGCGUUUUGUCCUGUUCAUGCCAAAUGAGCUUAUUUUCUGAAAAUAGAGUCCAUUGAAUAUGGUUAUAUUGCUGCAACAAUGUGUAAACGCCAAAACUUCCCAUUCUAUUAGUCUGUUCUGCCUUUGAACUGUUGGCUUGUCACGCUUCACCACUUCAUAUUGUUACUGUUAUUCUUUUUUGAGACAAGCAUUUAAACACUUAUAUUUAUUGUGCUAUGGAUUUUGAGUAAGAAUUUCUUCAGAUUUUUCUUAAAAAAAACCACACACAUAUAUUUAUUCUCUAGGUGCAUAGGCCUUCUGAGUUUUAACGAAUUCACACUUCUUGGUGCAGUUGCUCCGAGGGCUGAAGUAUCUUCACUCAGCAAGCAUUCUCCACCGUGACUUGAAGCCUGGGAAUCUACUUAUAAAUGCGAACUGUGAUCUAAAAAUUUGUGAUUUUGGGCUUGCACGUGCUAGCAAUGGCAAGGGCCAGUUCAUGACCGAGUAUGUUGUUACUCGCUGGUAUCGAGCUCCAGAACUACUCCUAUGCUGUGAUAACUAUGGGACAUCUAUUGAUGUCUGGUCUGUUGGAUGCAUCUUUGCAGAGCUUCUUGGCCGGAAACCUAUCUUCCCGGGCACAGAGUGUCUCAACCAGCUUAAACUUAUCAUCAACAUCCUUGGCAGCCAGGGGGAGGUGGAUGUUGAAUUUAUUGAUAACCCUAAGGCUAAGAGAUACAUCAAGUCACUUCCAUAUUCCCCUGGUACUCCAUUUUCUCGCCUUUAUCCUAAUGCCCAUCAUUUGGCAAUUGACUUGCUUGGGAAAAUGCUUGUUUUUGACCCAUCAAAGAGAAUAACUGUUACUGAAGCACUCCAACACCCUUACAUGUCCCCACUUUAUGAUCCCAACAGCAAUCCUCCAGCCCAGGUCCCCAUUGAUCUUGACAUAGAUGAGGAUUUAGGGGAGGAGAUGAUACGGGAGACGAUGUGGAGGGAGAUCCUCCAUUACCAUCCUGAAGCAGGUACAGCCAAUGGGCAGAUGUGUGCCUGAUCUUGUUACAUUAGUUUAAGCUAAGGAAGUUUUUGUUGUUGGUAAUAUUUUAGUUCUUUUUUAUCCAUGUUCGGCAUUGUCCCUUUUGUUCCUAAUAAUCUUAACGAAGCAUGCACCAGUCAGAUGUGCCAUUGGCGCAUGAUUUGACUAACUUUUGUUUUAAGGGCUUGUUGAUGAGCUUGAGCUCUGAACUUAUGUUGCCCUUUCAGUUUGUACAUAGUUGUGCCUAAAGUGCCUUUGUGAGAGUAUGAGAAAACUUUUGUUGUAUGUUAGAAUAUAUAAAUCAAUGUAUUGUAGUACUUUCAUGGUAACCACGCUUGUGCGAAGAGAAUAUCUUCGGGUGUUGAACAUUUAGCUUGCAAAUGACACAUGCAAGUAUGUGCUGUGUAGACUUGCUUUAUUUCCAUUUACGUCAGCAGAUGUAUAUGAAUUAUAUGUUGGUUGCUUGGUGCAG
This 6479-nucleotide unclassified non-coding RNA is filed under the name Hevea brasiliensis (rubber tree). Lineage: Eukaryota; Viridiplantae; Streptophyta; Magnoliopsida; Malpighiales; Euphorbiaceae. The record is from RNAcentral.